Molecule: ribosomal RNA, 400 nt
Filed under: uncultured bacterium
Lineage: Bacteria
Description: bacterial SSU rRNA
Rfam family: Bacterial small subunit ribosomal RNA
Source: RNAcentral
GGGGAAUAUUGGACAAUGGGCGAAAGCCUGAUCCAGCCAUGCCGCGUGAGUGAUGAAGGCCCUAGGGUUGUAAAGCUCUUUCAACGGUGAAGAUAAUGACGGUAACCGUAGAAGAAGCCCCGGCUAACUUCGUGCCAGCAGCCGCGGUAAUACGAAGGGGGCUAGCGUUGUUCGGAAUUACUGGGCGUAAAGCGCACGUAGGCGGAUUGUUAAGUGAGGGGUGAAAUCCCAGGGCUCAACCCUGGAACUGCCUUUCAUACGGGCAAUCUAGAGUCCGGAAGAGGUGAGUGGAAUUCCGAGUGUAGAGGUGAAAUUCGUAGAUAUUCGGAGGAACACCAGUGGCGAAGGCGGCUCACUGGUCCGGUACUGACGCUGAGGUGCGAAAGCGUGGGGAGCAAAC